UACUUCUUUCAAUGGACACAUAUACACUUCAAUUUAUGUUUAGAUUGAUGGACCAGAAUGAAACAAAACUGAAUGAAACAUGAUGGAAUGUAAGGAUGACAAAAUUGACCUGCCCCAUCAAACAUACAUGUUUUAUCCGUAGUUUUUUUGUUGGACUGACCAAAGUUUUAGACCUACACCUUCAUUCCAUUUUUUUAGUCUUUC
RNAcentral lists this long non-coding RNA (204 nucleotides) under Lathyrus oleraceus (garden pea). Its description in RNAcentral is "Pisum sativum (pea) long non-coding RNA (PSAT_LNC019190)". Lineage: Eukaryota; Viridiplantae; Streptophyta; Magnoliopsida; Fabales; Fabaceae. The record is from RNAcentral.